AGUGAACGCUGGCGGUAGGCCUAACACAUGCAAGUCGAACGGCAGCACAGUAAGAGCUUGCUCUUACGGGUGGCGAGUGGCGGACGGGUGAGGAAUACAUCGGAAUCUACUUUUUCGGGGGGGAUAACGUAGGGAAACUUACGCUACUACCGCAUACGACCUACGGGUGAAAGCAGGGGAUCUUCGGACCUUGCGCGAUUGAAUGAGCCGAUGUCGGAUUAGCUAGUUGGCGGGGUAAAGGCCCACCAAGGCGACGAUCCGUAGCUGGUCUGAGAGGAUGAUCAGCCACACUGGAACUGAGACACGGUCCAGACUCCUACGGGAGGCAGCAGUGGGGAAUAUUGGACAAUGGGCGCAAGCCUGAUCCAGCCAUACCGCGUGGGUGAAGAAGGCCUUCGGGUUGUAAAGCCCUUUUGUUGGGAAAGAAAAGCAGCAGGUUAAUACCCCGCUGUUCUGACGGUACCCAAAGAAUAAGCACCGGCUAACUUCGUG
This 492-nucleotide ribosomal RNA is filed under the name uncultured bacterium. RNAcentral's name for it is "partial 16S ribosomal RNA". It matches the Rfam family "Bacterial small subunit ribosomal RNA", at positions 29 to 507 of the family's 1533-position model. The record is from RNAcentral.